ACUGCUUGACAUAGAACAAAUCAGCUCUUAUUACAAGAAUAAAUACAAAGGUCUGAUGUUACAAAUGUUCACAUCAGCACGACGACACUACGCCUGCGAUACUACACUUGCUCUAUGCUAGCAGCGGAACAACUCGAAGCAGCGGAAAUCUUCUAGCAGCGGAACAACGACGAAGGUGGUGAACUCCACUCCGUAGGGACUCUGGCUGGGACACAAUCUAGCUCGCACGAACGGAAACCACGACAAGCAAUCAAGCAAUCACGGCAUCACCUGCAAUCUAUCAUGACACGCCAGGUUAGUACAUUGAAUAUACUUGCAAGCUCACAACAACCAAAAGCAUCAAGGCAAGACAACAACAUGGCAUCAAGGCAAGACAACAACAUGACAACAACAACCUCGUGACCACAUCACAAACUGAAUGAUCAUCCUCAAGAUCAUCAUCAACAUCCUGCCAAAUUGUUAUUGCUCACAUACAUCAUAUAAAUCAACUAUAAGUCAGUCCGUCACGUGAGUGUUGAUCGAACGGUGUGACCUAGUACGGACACGGCUAUCGAUAGUUUAAACACACACUCUGCAGAGGUAGUGCACUGUAUCCACACCACGGAACCCAUGGCCUCGCACUCCCAUUCGGCUGGACCAACGACGUUCCGACAAAACCGAUCUACUGCCAUGAAACUCUCCCGGCCACUCCGACCAACACCGCCUUUGGGUUCAGUCCAGGGUGGCCCCGUUCCUACCAAAGGCACCAACGGCCAUCGUCGUGGCAAAACAGCCACCGUUGUGGCAACCAAAAACGGUCCCAAACGGGGGCAAAAGCGCGCAAAAUCCAACUACGGGCACACAAGGCUUAUGUCCGCCUACCUGAUCAGGGUAGCGCGCCCAUAACCUUCCCUCGCUGGAGGCACCGGCGAGAGACACGCCAAUAGCAUCGCAUUAGGGCCUUCCCAUAAAGGCAAAUGUGGUUGCACUGGAGAAAGCCCGGUUUGGUGGCACCUGACCAACUUAAUGACGGAAUUUAUCCCCAAAAAUAUAACUGUGAUAACUGAUACUCCGAUAUCAACUAUCAAACUAUAAUCCAAGUCGUAGCAAUAUCCAACAAAUAAUCUGGGCAUAAUAUCAUCAUAUCAAAAUACUCCAUGGAUAGCAUGACAUUUCUAUCAUGAUGAAUCUGAAAACAAUAACUCUACUACUCCAAUAACAAGAACAAAGCUAUCCAGCUAAGAUCCACACGUAAACAUCAUCUCCAAAAUUAAUACUCCAAGCAACAGUAACAGAACAUCGACUAGCAUCAUGAAAAUAAUCAUACUAACCACUAAUAAUCCAAAGGCAACAUGACAUCCAAAGUAAUACUCCAAAAUAUAAUAACACAUAUCAUCAUGAAAACAAUCAUAUAUCAACCACUAAUACUCUAAUGGCAUCAUGAUACUCAUCAACUACAAACAUAACUCCUAGUAAUCCAAACAAUAGCAUGGCAACAACAAGAUCAAAAUAAUACUCCGAGAAAAUGCCAUGCACAAAGUCAUGUAGCUAAAGCAAUAUUUAAACAAGUUCAAAUAGAUUAAACCAUGUCACUGCAUUACAGUUAUGCAAAUGGAGGGUGUGGCUUGCCUGGGAUGGAAGAAAUCACCGGGAGAAAGCGCGAGAAACUCACAGAAAGGAUCGCCAGAAAACAUACUCUCUCGGAGGGGCUUGAAUAAGGGCAGGGGCAAAAUGGUCAUUUUCAGAAUGUCAAAACAUGGUGAAAAUGGUUCCACCAGAACGGGCUCGAUGAAACAAAGACUUGGGCUUUGGAAUCACCUGAUUUGGAGCUACGGUUGAAAAGAUACACUUGUUUUUCUGCCAAGGACCUAUUUGUAAGAAAAAUCUUAACAAAUUGGGCCUGGACAGAAAAACAGAAAGCGUACUUUAAAGAAUAGGCCUUCACUUCAGGGAAAACGCAUUCCUUGCUGAAACAGACACAAAAUACGCUUUCAGGUAAGGGAAGCGUACUUUGGCUGAAGGAGAAGGAAAAGACGCUUUCUAAAAGCGAAAACGCACUCACGGGUUUACGCCUCCACUUAAUCCAGUCAGCAAGGCGGGGCUGCGGCUUGAGCAGCUGCCAGGUGGGACCGUGGGGUCCACGACCAGCUGGCAGGGAGCGGCCUCUCCUUCCUCUCGCCCGACGCGCGCCCGCAAUGCAUAGGAGGCAGCAGCGAGGCGGCGCCGGCCCAGCCAUCUCCGGCCACCUCCCGCCCGAGUGAGGGCACUGGCGAGUGCGGCGAGACGUGCCGCACCCGUCUGCCCCCCGUAGCAGCGCCAGGACGGAGCGGAACGACGGCGGCUUGCGGCGACCGAGAAUGAGGGCGGCGGCCGAAACUUGGGCGCGUGGCCACAACUGCUCCGGCGAGGAAAAGAGGGAUGGGAGAGGUUCGCUGGGGUCUGGUUGAGCUACUGGUGGAGGAGGAAUGAGGAGAGGGGCUCCGGCUUGAGCCAAUCGGGGAGGGUGGCCGCGGCGGCCAUGGCAGCCAACCAAAGCGAUGAGGGGCUCUGGAGUCGAACGGAUGGGUCUGGGAGGUUGCUGGGAGGGUGAGGAAGAACUUGGAGUGCUCAGAGGGCUCAGGGGAGGCCUUAAAUAGGCGUGAGGCGAGGAGGUCGAGCUGGCAUCACCGUGGCUACGUGUCUGGCGCCGCGGAUGCGUGUGCACACGCAUGAACUCGGAGUUAGGUGACGAGAGGGGACAGGAGGGAGAGCUCACGGGGAAGAGGGGGCCAAGGGAGCGCAGGUAGGAAGACGACGGCGACAAACCGAGCCAAAACGCCAUUGUACGUCUGUGGGCACGCUGCGGUUUGCGUCAUUGAGGAAGCUGACGGAGGGGGAGAGGGGUCCAGGGGAACGACAGCGACGAGAUGCAGCCACUGGACAUGCUCAUGAGCUCUAAGACGACGAGAGGUAGCGGUGCCAAAGCACAAACGGUGCUCUGGACACGCCACAGCACAUAGAGCGCGUAAAUGUGCAUGCCAGCUGCGCGGUCACCACACGACAUGGCACGGGGAGGGCUGUAGAGGAUGGCAAACUAUGUCUGGGAGCUAGUCCUUCAAGGGUGGAUAAUUUAUGAUUCCAUGGCUUGAUCUGGGGUGCUAUGGUUAAAUGGUAAAUAAGCUCUAAAGUUUACUGCAUCAAACUUGGAGAGCACUGCUGAUCAACAGGAAACUGAUUGGGUCAAAUGGUGUUGUCUGGGAUGAUUAACUAUGGAAGGUUGUGAUCCUGGAGGUUUUGGAGCAUAAUGGAGCACAAACUAAUAUAGUUGCUGUUUAACCCCAAAAUUGGUCCAGAAUCAAGAUUUGGAUGAUGCACUCACAUGGUGUUAUGGAAUGGGAUGCAACUUUGCAAAUCCUCAUGAUAUAGACAUAUAAAGAUGCUGUAAAAAGCUCAUGCCAAAUGGAUAAGCCAAAAUGGCACUUGCUUCACAAGCAUCAUUUCUGUCCAGAAACUUGAAAUAAUUUUGGUGAUCAAAUGGAUCCAUGAAAUGAUGCCAAAUUGGAUGGAGAGAUGUUUUGAAUUAUCUGGUAAUUUAUCAGGAUUUUUUAAGCAAUAUAAAAUACACUUGCUUCACAACCUGAAAAUAUUGCCAGAAUCAAAUAUUUGCUCCUGUGCUCACAUAGAUGAUUGGAUGAGGCUGCAAAUGGGUGGAGGGGUUAAUAUGAGCACAUUAAGGAGUGUGCAAAAGUUUAACUCAUUUGGAUACACCUAGCUAGUAUUUCCUUCACAAAGCCUUCUAUCUGACAGAAACUUUGAAAAUUCACUGAGGAAGAUUGGCUAGGCAAAUAAAGUUGAACUUGUGCAUGAGGCAAUUAUAUGGACAUAUAAGCAUGCCCAAACAUCUUGGGAGCCACUAGGAAAAUAUAAAUGGCACUUCCUUCGCAAAGUGCCAUUCAGGAUAGAAAUGAAGAAUGAUUAUUGGGGAAUUAUUCUUGGGCUAGAACAGGGAAGUUUGUGCAUAUUUCAUUAACAUAUGACCCAAAGGAAUUUUGAGAAUUAAUUGGGAAUUUUUGGAUGGACAAAAAUAUGGGUUGCUUCACAACCUAGGGCAGAUAGGGUUAUCCCUUUAUUAGAAAAAGAAAUAUUCCCUAGAAAAGAUUUUAGGGUUUGGUCAAGGAGUGAAGUGACAUGAUCUUGGCAAGGUUUUGAGAAUGCUGAGCCACUUGGGAGGGGGAAUGAGGGUGAUUUCCCAGGUGGCAAGGCCACAGAACCACUUCAAAAAGAAAAACAGAGCAAAAACCAAAUAAAUCAAAAGAAAAAGGAAAGGCCAAAAUCCAGGCUGUUACAACUCUUACCCCCUUAAAGAAAUCUCCUCCUCGAGAUUUAGUUGCUCUGGGAACAAGUAUGACUUGAGGAUACCGUUUCCAACUCGGGUAUCCUUUUUCCUUUAUUUAUUGUUCCCCCAAGAAUUUCAUAUGAUCAACUUACCUUGCUCUGGGGUGGCUUGUUUCACCUUUCCCCAAAUCCUGAUGAGUUUUUGCUCAUAUACCACUUCCUUUUGCUGACGUGAAUUUUCUCAUAUCUGCGGUGAUAUCCAAUGGAUCUGAGCAUAAAUUUUCCUUUGGUCAUGAAAACCUUUUUACUUCUGCCAUGGGGUUGCUUCAAAUAAAUGCAAGCCUUCUGUGUUCAAUAAGUGCUUAGAAUUAAUCAUGGCCAUCUUCUGACGGGAUCUAACUGCUCAUAGGUGGCACUAAUUUAUCUUGAUUUAUUUCCUUUGGCUCGAGCAUGUGGCAUAUACCAGAGAUUUGACUGCCUUCUGUCGUGAGCAACAUAACGGUGUAUGGAGUUAUAGCUAUGUCAUACCUCAAAUAUUUACAUCUUGAUACAUUGCCCGACAGGGGGUUGACGGACAAAUGCUUUUCCUGACAUAUUGACCAUGUACUUGAUUCCGUCGGUGAGUAUACCGGGUCUGAGCUGAUUAUUCGGCUUUUGACUUUCUCAUUUUGUCGGUAUACCCAUCUUUGGUAAUACGCUGUGAUAUUUUUUAACACUUCCGCUGAGGUCAAACUGUUGAGGUUGCAAAGGAAUCUUGGAUCUGACAGAACAGACUUGGAUAUUCCACACUAACCAUGUCAAACGGGUCAGCGGGAUAUGAAAAUCCUUGUAAAUAGAGUAGGCUGCUGAAGGUGUAUGUCUUUGUGGAUCCAUAUGGAAUUCUGGCCUCCAACUGCCUUGGGGUAUCCGGACCCUAAUGGUCGUGCAAAAUCAUCAUACCUUUGUUGUCAGUCUCACCUAUUAACGGUCAUGAUUUUCUUUGUCAGGAUACCUUGCUGAAAUAACUUGGGCACGCAUGUCCUUGAUUCUUCGUAUGACCAUGGAUGUGAUUAAUAUUUUUGACAUUAUUCCUUGUGCUUGUUCUUCUGACCUGUGUCCGCACAUAUAUGACAUAUACUCGGGGUUUGUAGUUGUACGGAGCUCAUUGCUGAGGCCAAUCAUACAAGAAGGUGACAAGGUUUCAUGAUAUCACCUUGUCUGGUGCGGGAAUAAUGACCUUGAUGACCAUUGUCAAGACUGUGGAUUCUGUGAUGUCAUCCCCAGAUCUUGUCAAUCCUUGUAAUUCAUGAGAUGUAUCUCUGCUUAUUUUCCUUUACUUGACUCGUGAGGUUGUUGAAUCCUUACUUUCCUUAGGUAUAUCUGCUGGAUCCUUACCGCAUCUCAUAUGAGUGACUGAUAUGACUGGGGAUACAUGUUCACCAUAUAUGCGAAAAGAUACGUAAUCGAACACUUGAUUUCUGAAGAAGACCUAUGCCUUGACUGAUUUGUGCUUCUGACAAAAAUGUUGCGAGUCUAAUUCUUCAGCGAUACUUCCAUAUAUUGGCAACUCAUCAUAUAAUCUCUGAGGAUGGUGUAAUAGUAUGAUACUGACGCAGACUGAAUGGCUUAUGAAAGAAGUCAUCUGAGUAGCUUACUGAGGAGGACUUGUUAACUUCUGCUCAAAUCUUUUGUCUGGGUAUCGUGUAGAAAAAGGCUCUAUAGCUUACACACGAAGCUUGGUCUGAUUAUUGUGCUGGAGAAGCCUGAGUCCCGUACUUGAGAAGCUUCUCCUCGGUUUUGCUUGUUGAGAAAAAAUCAUUUCUGUGUGUCAGAAGAUUUUACCGAGGUAUCUUGUUGAGAAAGACCGGGUAUCGUGGGCCAGAAAUUGUUCACAUAUCAUGCCGAGGAGAAAUUGAGGAGCCUUGCCUCAUAAAUUUCUUCCGAUAUCAUGUGGAAUAAUACUGGGUUUUUUAUAUCCAAAACUUCAUACUGAUAUGCAGACUGAAAUCCAUACACACGCCCAUAAUAUUCCGAGGCUAAUUAUUUGCAUGAGAAAUAUGGUUUGACUGCCUUCCUCGAGCAUGUCACAUUCUGACUUUAUUUCGGAUGAUAACAUAUUUCAAGCAUCAUGCAUUGCUGAGCCAAAAUUUUGUAUAUGAUCCAUACCUUUGACUAAAAAUAUACUGUUGACCUUGUACCUGACUUGUCUUGCUGUUUACUUGAUUAUUACUGCUGUGAUGAUUUUGUACUGAUGUAGAUUUGAGUUAUCAGUACUGUUGCGAGGAACACAAACUAUUGCAAAAUUUGAUUAUCAGCCUCAAGAUCAGAUAUUCCCCAUUUCACUGCAGUCGGCUGAGAAUUCCAUUCGGUUUAGCUAAGUUUCCGAAUAUUUGAACUCCUUAUUACUUCUUUGUGUCCGGUGUCAGUUGAUGAGCAAUUCUUUAUAGGGGAAAAAUAAUGUAACACCCGGGCCCAAAAAGAAAGAAGCAAAAGAAAACUCAACUAAACAAAAGCACACAACAACAAUCACUACACACUCAAACAAAGUAACAUAGUACUGCUAGUCACACAAUAUGCAUGCCUACUUAAUCACACAAAUCUCGCGGGAUCUCCGGUUCUACGAUCUAGCAUGCUGUGACGGUGUGCACGAGGAUGAAUAAAUGUGUGGAAGAAUUGGUGUAAACAGCGCAAAACCAAGUGCUAGCUUAGCUAGGUAGCAACCUGAACUAGCUCGGAGGCGAGGACGCACUCGGUAACUAUGUAGUGGGACACGAAGGUCGCAACCACAUUAUUAUCAAGCGGACGGAAAAAGAUCUGUACUCAUCAAAGAAAUAAGGAUAGCGGGGGAAAACUGACGCUGCUGACAUUGGCCUUUUUUAUAGCUAAGAUCAUUAAGGGUUGCCAACACGACAAAAUAAAAGAAUGAUCCGGGAUAGAAGCAUGUCUAUCACCGAAACAAUAGGCGAGACUGAAAGAAAGACAUCAGCGCGAUACCUGAGUACCAUUUCUACAAACAGUGUCGGGAUCACUUGGCAUCACUCUGCUGGGACAGAAAUGACACCAAACACCGAAAGAAAAAGGAACUGGAGAAAUGCAGAGGUUGAGCUAUAGUGGAUCUGAACCGAUGCCAGCUACACUCACCAGAUAAACCAUUAGUAACAAAUAAUAAGGCUAUAUGCAUGCUAUGCAACAAACAAAUGCAGCAACCAAAUGCAAUAAACAAGCCGGACUUUAAACUACCGAUUUCUACCAGUUUCUACCGCUCGCGCUGACUAGGGCGUCCUACAGCCAGACCUGCUCUAAUACCAAGCCUGUGGCACCCCGACUCGGAGAAACCGGAAUGCCCUGUAUUCCAGCCCAGAGAUCGAGGAGAAGUCUCUGGAAUAUGGCACUGCUUGACAUAGAACAAAUCAGCUCUUAUUACAAGAAUAAAUACAAAGGUCUGAUGUUACAAAGGUUCACAUUAGCAUGACAACACUACGCCUGCGAUACUACACUUGCUCUAUGCUAGCAGCGGAACAACUCCAAGCAGCGGAAAUCUUCUAGCAGCGGAACAACGACGAAGGUGGUGAACUCCACUCCGCAGGGACUCUGGCUGGGACACGAUCUAGCUCGCACAAACGGAAACCACGACAAGCAAUCAAGCAAUCACGGCAUCACCUGCAAUAUGGCAUGACACGCCAGGUCAGUACAUUGAAUAUACUUGCAAGCUCACAACAACCAAAAGCAUCAAGGCAA
This 8010-nucleotide long non-coding RNA is filed under the name Triticum aestivum (bread wheat). Its description in RNAcentral is "long non-coding RNA (TAES_LNC004891)". The record is from RNAcentral. Lineage: Eukaryota; Viridiplantae; Streptophyta; Magnoliopsida; Poales; Poaceae.